GGGGAUGUUUUUGGUUUUGACAGCAAGGUUAGAUUGAAAUGUAAGCACGUCGAGCGUUGUGAUUUAGCUCGUUAAUCUCAGGUCUCAAGCCAUUAAUUGGCAACAACAACUAUGCUCUCGCAGCCUGAUUUACACCAAGUGUAACGGCUUAAUCCGACGACCCAAGGCUGGUCGUUGGACGAGAAUCUCGCAAAAGACCCGCCUUUCGGUAUUUUGAUUUUGAGGUUUCAUACAUAGGAAGGAUAGUGUGCGCGACACCUUUAAACGUACGCAAAAAUUUCAAAGGCUAAGGAUAAAACCGAUGGCUUCUUAUCAUGUUUUAUCCCGACAAAAUGAAAAGAAGAUAAACGCGUAGAAAACAUUUGGUCACUUGUUUGGACGCGAGUUCGACUCUCGCCAUCUCCACGA
This 408-nucleotide transfer-messenger RNA is filed under the name Prevotellaceae bacterium. It matches the Rfam family "transfer-messenger RNA". Rfam says of the family: Bacterial tmRNA, also known as 10Sa RNA or SsrA, is named for its dual tRNA and mRNA-like properties. Its role is to liberate the mRNA from a stalled ribosome. To accomplish this part of the tmRNA is used as a reading frame that ends in a translation stop signal. The record is from RNAcentral. Lineage: Bacteria; Pseudomonadati; Bacteroidota; Bacteroidia; Bacteroidales; Prevotellaceae.